CUAGCGACUUCAGAGUUUGAUCCUGGCUCAGGAUGAACGCUGGCGGCGUGCAUAACACAUUCAAGUCGAACGGACGAGGCCCUUCGGGGCCGAGUUAGUGGCGGACGGGUGAGUAACGCGUGAGCAACCUGCCCUUGCGCAGGGGACAACAGCUGGAAACGGCUGCUAAUACCGCAUAACACACACUGAUCGCAUGAUCGGAGUGUCAAAGAUUUUAUCGUGCAAGGAUGGGCUCGCGUUGGAUUAGAUAGUUGGUGAGGUAACGGCUCACCAAGUCGACGAUCCAUAGCCGGACUGAGAGGUUGAACGGCCACAUUGGAACUGAGAAACGGUCCAG
RNAcentral lists this ribosomal RNA (337 nucleotides) under uncultured bacterium. RNAcentral's name for it is "bacterial SSU rRNA". It matches the Rfam family "Bacterial small subunit ribosomal RNA", at positions 1 to 334 of the family's 1533-position model. The record is from RNAcentral.